Equus caballus (horse) is the source of this 1996-nucleotide non-coding RNA. The record is from RefSeq and is a predicted model, not a curated record. Lineage: Eukaryota; Metazoa; Chordata; Mammalia; Perissodactyla; Equidae.
UUUUCUUUCUCCCCUAGGUCCAAGGCUCCUGUCCAAAACCCAGGCCACGUAAACAAUUACAUCCAUUCCUGUCACUCUUCCCCUAGUUCUGUGGUUACUUUCCCUCCCUACCCCUACCCCAGCCACAGGGACUCUUGGACCCUGGCUCUUUCCCUACUUGAUUCAGCAUGAGCUUUUCACCCACAGCACAUGGGGCAGUAGUGGAGAGAGCUUUGGAGUUAGAGAGCCUGGCUCUGAAUUCUGGUUGUAACUCUUUCUUUCCCUCCCUGAUUUCUCAGUUUCUUCUGUAUAUUUGGGCUCAUAAAAGUUGGUAGAAGGUAACAAUCAGAGGGCACUUGCUGUAUUCAAGGCACUGAGCAAAGAACUUUAUAUGUUUUCUCCCACAACAAUGCUACACAACAGGUUUUUAAAAAAUCCCCAAAUCUGGGUGAGGAAGCAGAGGCCCAAAGAGGUUUGCUGCUCGCCCAGGGUCUUACAAGAAGUGGAGCCAGGAUUCCGGGCAGUCUGACUCCAAAGACUUUGCUGUUAACUGUUAACGUAGAGAGAUGGUUGUUGGGUUGAGCCUCCAGUCCAUACAUGGCGGCGCCUGAACUUUCCAGGGGGCGUUUCCUGUUUGCUCUGUUUUAUCCAGUGUUUCCAAGCAGCAGGAGAGUGUUUCAGGUUGUCAGCUCCACAUAGAGCCUUAAAUGCGAGCCUCACUAUCCAGGGCUGUUGUGAGAAAGCGUCAGGUAGACCAUGUGGCUAGAUGUAACAGUCAUUGAAGAUGGUGUUUAUAGAGAAUUUUUACCGAUAUGAGGAAAGCUUAUAACAAAGUGAUCAAAGCAGAAUGUGCAACUAUGUGUAGAGUAUGAGCUGAACUCUUAGAAAGUUGUGCUGGCCGUGGUCAACAGUUAUUAACCACAUGGAACCCAGGACUGUGCCUACUGACGGUGCCAAGAAAUACUGAUCUGAUGACUGAAGGAAGGAGGGAAUGAGGAAGACUUUGGACUGGUUAGAUCACCAUCUCCAACAGACCAAGAUCCUAAGGCACCGGAUGUUUAUGACUUCCUCCUUCAGUGGAUUGGGAAAGGCCUGCUGGUCCUUCAUGGGCCCAAGUGGUUCCAGCACCGCAAGCUGCUCACGCCUGGCUUCCAUUAUGAUGUACUGAAGUCCUACGUCGCCAUGUUCGCUGACUCCAUGCAUGCAAUGCUGCAUGGAACACAGGACUGUGCCUACUGACGGUGCCAAGAAAUACUGAUCUGAUGACUGAAGGAAGGAGGGAAUGAGGAAGACUUUGGACUGGUUAGAUCACCAUCUCCAACAGACCAAGGCCAUCAUAUCUCUGGGUUCAGCCACACCUUCAGGCUAUGGUGAAGGGCAUUAAAGGAAAGCAAGACUGUGAUUCCUGCAGGGAAGAAGAAGAAGAAAGAAGUCUGAUCAUACUCAUGGGAUAGUGGCUCAAAUCCAUGUAAAAGCCCUGGUCCCCUGGCCAGAGCCCACCUGGGUGAUAUCCUGGCAUGUCCAAUCUGCUGCUGAGGCUUCCGCUUCCCAGGCCAGCCAGUGUCAGUUUGUCUUGCUGUCCAGUGGAAAUGACAUUUGCUCUAGUCCACGGUGCUGAAGAUGUGGAGGUGUGAGAAGAGUGAACUCUGUUAUCCACCAUAGCCCUCCUUUCCCUUGGCAAUAACCAAGUGUGGAUCCAACCUGGCUUGUCUACUUUUAACUACAACCAGAAAAUCUGCACAAUUGGUACUAUUUCUCUCACUUCCUUCAUCUAUGAAGGCCAACGCCUUCUAGGAUCUUCAGUCCUACUUCACUGAGUACUAUAGUUUAGCAGGAGUACUUUCACACUUCACUUGGGAGCCUGUAUACAUUGUUUACUGCAACCUGUUCUUAAACAGAAAAUAUUUUAAAAGCAACAGCUUUCUCUUGAGAAACCUUCGUCCAGACUUACCAAGAAAAAAAGAGAGGACUCAAAUGAAUAAAAUCAGAAAUGAAAAAGGAGACCUAAUAACCGAUA